UGUCCCGUAGUGUAGUGGUUUAGCACAUUAGACUUUGAAUCUAAUAACCCGAGUUCGAAUCUCGGCGGGACCU
Non-coding RNA from Fimicolochytrium jonesii, 73 nucleotides. NCBI's taxonomy places the organism in Eukaryota, Fungi, Chytridiomycota, Chytridiomycetes, Spizellomycetales, Powellomycetaceae. The record is from the annotation of a RefSeq genome assembly.